RNAcentral lists this long non-coding RNA (5055 nucleotides) under Mus musculus (house mouse). RNAcentral describes it as "long non-coding RNA chr18:35196164-35201219". Lineage: Eukaryota; Metazoa; Chordata; Mammalia; Rodentia; Muridae. The record is from RNAcentral.
GUAUUUUUCUCUAGUUUAUUUAAGAAAAAUAGAAUGCUAGUGGGAAAGCUAGUAUGAAGCUGCUCCCCACCCCCUCUGAUUAAAACAGCUCUCUAGCUCAUCGUUUCAGGGACUCAAUAGCUGCUUGGGUAAUUAGCCAAGUGAGUUUAAAUGUUGUCUAUAUGUUCCUAAAAAUGACUGUGGGACAGGUAGUGUGAAGUCUAGAAGGUCUUUUUCCCUUUCAUGUUAUAAUCGGUUUUUCUAUUGAAGGUUUUCAAAAGACUGAGUGGAAGAUUCUUAUUAAGAGAAAGUCUUUAUAGUUAAGGUGGACUGACUUUGAAGUGAGGCUCAUGGGAUGUCUGGUAUCAUCGCUCUGCUUUUGAAAUAUGAACAGUUGCCAUCAGAUGUUAUCAGUGGAAUUAUUCAUCGGUUACUUGCUUUAGUAAUAAUAUCCAAAACUAAGAAUAGUGGAGUGUAUUUAAUAUUUUGACAAGGAUCUCAGUGUUUAACUGAGAUUUUUAUUAUUUUAUCUUCUACCUCCCUCCAUUUCUCUCUGAGACAAGGUCUCUCUCUGUAGCCCUGGCUGGUCUGCAACUAACAGAGAUAUUCUCUGCUUCUAGGACUAAAGAAAUACACACCCCAUUUUAUUUUUUUUAUACUUGCUAAAAGCAUUUUAAAAAAGAAAACCACCUUAAAAUUAUCUUUGUAUUUAUAUGAUCCAAAUGUAAAGAGUAUAAAAUUAAAAGACUUUGUAAAAAGAAAUCCUUUCACAUCACUCUUAUAACCAUAUAUAGGUUUUCUAUUUAAUUUCUUGUAUCUUUCAAAACAAUUUCAUAUAGAUAUAGUAAACCACAUGCGUAAGUUAACCUAAAGAUAUUUUUAAGAGGGAAGUAUUAUUUCCUUAAAAGGUUAAGGUUUUUCUGUUUAUGUAUUUAUAGAGAUGGGAUUCACCAUGUGGUCAUGCUUGCCUUGAGCUUGCAGCUGUCCUCCAUGUCCUCUGGAGUGCCUGAAUUGCAUUCAUGCAGCCCACACCCAGUUCCUAAAGAUCCUUUUUAAAAAAUACUUUCUAGCCUUAUAAUGAGUCACUGAUUGUGAAACAGGUGCUAUUAUAAUUUGAAGCAGUGUUUUAUGGUUCACUUUGCUUCUAGGCCACUAAAUUUUGUUCUUCAUACUUCUUGUCUUUCCUUUUCUGUCUCUCCCAAGGACGCUAAUUCCCAUCUCUGCGUGUCUGCUCCUGUAGUAGGUGUUUAGUCCCUAUGCUUCCCUUCCUUUCUCUGUCUGUUGUGGCAUUAGUGUGUAGUGCCACAACACAGUGACCUGUGGAGGUCAUGUGUAGAGUAUUACCAUUUUGUCUUGUUUCUCAUGUCAUAGUGAGUGGCCUUAGCUAGGUGAUUUUUAUAUAUUGUUCCAUAUAGUAUUGCUAUUCUUUUUAAACAAUAAUUAGUAAUAAUCCAUCUUAGUGCUGUCUUUAUUGCUUUAGGCAUUUAGUUCAUUCAUUCAGAUGCUUUUGUUGAGAUGUCAGGACUCUUUGCACUUUAUUAACUUCGUAUCCUUUUGUCAUCAUAGGUUGUUGAAAGUCUUUAACAACUGGAGAACUUUUACUUUAUUUUCUGUUGUUUACUUGCUUAUCUGCUAUAGUCUUUAAUUCCUAACCCUGGUUCUUGUACAGAAAUGCAUGAGUUUACUCUUUAUUAAUAUUUGGUUGCUAUUAUUACAUCAUCAUCAUAACUCAAACAAGCUCCCAUUCCUAUCUAAUAAUGUGAGAGGUCGCAGAGUUCUAAUAUUGGAACUUCCCUCUAACCAUGCAAAAGAGCUUUAUAUUUGUUCUAAGGGAUUCUGAAAAAAAAAAUCAUCAUAGAAUUUGGGUGCUAUGCUCUAAGGAGAAAGAAGUUUAUAUCAACAGAAGGUACUUUAUGCCAUGUGCCAGCUGCUAUCAGUAUAAAAACAUGCAGUAUAAAUCUCACUGGUGAUGUCUGGGAAGUCAAGAUUUAGGAGGAUUUCAAAAAACAUGUUUUGUUAUGAACACGGCAUAGGCAAACUGAGAGAAAGGAAAGACUACAUUAACCCUCUCCCCUUUCUUUAUCUUUUUGUGUUGCUAGAUACCAAAUCUAGGGCUUUGUGUGUGUUAGCCAGAACUGCUUGACUACUGAGCUGCAUUCUAGCCUGCCGUCUUCAGUCUUCAUUUGGGGAUCUUGUUCUUCCCUGCUGUAUAUUACUGCCAUGUCUGGUUUCCCACCAAGAGUCUUCUGGAAUCCUUCCAUUCUCUUCCCUUAACCUACAUCUCUCUUACAUUCUUUCCCCGCUCAGACACUGUUGUUAGCAAUCUGGCAUGAGUACUUUCCAUACUUUUUUCCAUUUACAUGAUAAGUCCUUAGUUUUCCCAGAAUGUAAAACUAUAAUCAUUUCCCCCAUUUGACAUAAAUGUUCUCUUAAUUAAGAUGAAUGAUAUCAUUGCUUACAAUCCUGCAUGUUAUUAUUUAAAAGCACUUCAUAGAAAAGGUAGGUUUUGUUUGUUUUUAAAGAUUUGCCUAUUUUACUUUAUAUGCAUGAGUGUUUUUCCUAUAUUUUGUAUAUGCAUCAUGUGUGCAUCUGGUGCCCAUGGAGGUUAGAAGAGGCAGUCGGAUCCCUGAUUGCUGUCAGUUAUGAAUGGUUGUAAACCACCUGUGGGUGCUGGGAACCAAAUUUGGGUCCUCAGCAAGAAUGACAAGUGCCCUUGACCUCCAAGCCAGCUCUCCGGUCUUGAGAAGACUUUAAAGCCUCAUUCUUAUUGCUGAGUUUGGGUUUACUUAUAAUUGAUUAAAAGUGUAUUAUUUUAAUUCAGAGUGUGGUUUUGUCAUACAUUAUUUAACGAUCACCUUUUUUAAUGAACAUUUGCUUUUUAAAUUGUUUUAAAGCAUUGUGUAUGCUGUAGCAGUGAUCAACCUUGAAAGAUAUACCCUUAUAUUUUGUUCCUUUACUUUUACAUAUAAGAUUCUCAAUUUUAUUUUUAUGGAGAUGUUUGAGUUGGGGAGGGAGGGGAAGAAAGGAUAUUUUCCACAAAGUGCUAAGCUCAGUGGCUAUUGUACCACCAGCAUAAGAAAAUAACCUUCAUGCUCUCUCUAACAGGAGGGGUUGUUUCAAUUUUGUUUGUGUGCCAUGUGAUCUUUCUGUUCUGUCAAGUACUUACUUGUAGUUAGCUCCAUUUUUCUAAUAGUACAAGGGCUUUUUUUAUUAGAAGCUGUUGAAUAUUACAGCUGUUACUCUAAUAGCUGCCAUUUAUUUUAUAUUUUUUCACUGUUUUUGUUGGUAGAUUUUAAACCAACACGUUGAACUUUUGUAUAUCUUUUGUCUUAUGGAUAAUGGAGUUCCUGCUUGUGAUGAAAGCAUCUUUCUCAUCUUUGAUUACUUGUAUGUACACAUUCGAGUCUGUCCUAGUUAGAUUACAAGAGUCAGAGCUACUUAGAGAGAGACACAGACACACAGAGAGAAACAGAUUGAUUGUAGAGAUUAACAAUAUAUAAUCAUGGAAGUAGUUAAAUUCUGAAGUAGAUUAAAAGUAUAUGUGAGGCUGUUGCUUUCAUACAUCUUUUAUAAAAGAAAAAGGACUUUAAGCUUGGUGUUUCUAGGAAAGAAUUGUCACAUUAAAUGGGUUUCAUAUAAAUUGACAUAUUCCAAAUAUAGAUUUCUUUGAAAAAUGUCAUGGUUGAAUACAAGGUAGUAAUUAAUUGCCUCACUUUGAGUACUUAGAUUUUUAAAUUUUUUUAAAGUUCUUUUACAUAGACCAUUUUAAUUGGAUCAAAAUUAUUUGACCUGGAUGGCUGGAAGAAGCAGCCCAGUUAUAGAUGUUUUAAUGAUGCUUUUAGACUUUAUUUCUGUGAGAUAAAUCUUCCUUUUGUAAUUCUCAUUGGUACCACAUUUGCAGGAUUCUGUUUAUGUAAAUAGUGUUUUCUUUUGUGUGUGCAUGCGUAUGUAUGUGUGUGUUUGUAUGUGUGUGUGUGUCUGUGUAUAAGAACCCUGAGACAUCUCAUUGUCUUGGCCUGUAAAUAGUUUUAUUAUUUAAUUUUUUUCUAUUUGUAUUGGCAGAAUUUGUCUGCUCAUUAUUUAUGGUUAUACAAGUACUAGUUGGAAAUAUUGAGUGUGACUACACACAUACAUUCAACUUAGUGGUUCUCUGUCUGUCUCAUCAAAUAUAAGCAGCCAGUACUAGAAUAAAAUGGAGAUAAUGAAAUGGGUUAAAAAAAAGGAAAAAAUGACUGGAAGUGAGCUAAGUAGUGGCUUUCUCUUUGAUAUGACCUGGGUUUCAUCUUGAUCAUUUUGUGCCCCUACUCUCUACCACCUUAGAUUUAUACAUUUGGGUAUGUGCACUUGUGUUCUCUUCCCCUUCCCCAAGUAUAAGUAGAAAGUGUAAAUUCUUGCGUUUUCAAGGAAAGACUGAAUGAAAUGCUGAAUGAGUAGACUGCCAGGCAUCACCGAAGAAAAACUGCUGUAGGGGAGGAGAGGAAAGAACAAUUUGGUAACUUCUCAGACUGCAGUUAACUAAAAUCCGGAACUUAUUUAUGUGGGCAUUGGAAGUAGGAUAUAGAGAGGGUUGUUAGAGCACAACUGAUUUGACCCAUUAGGGCUUUCUAAUAGAAGAAAAAUGCCAUUAGGUCUCCAUCAUUUUUCAGUUUCCUUCUCUUUAGCGAGGGGUUUCCUUAUUCUCUGUCACUACUGUUCAGUGGAAAGGGUACUAAGGGCUUACAUAAUAAUGCCAUUCUGCAUAAGAGUAAGAAAUACUCUAUGAGGCAUACUCUUGGAUGGCUUUCCCUCAGUACUGCUAAUGUAUAUUGAUCUCCUUAUAGUUUUCAGAAUCAAUUAUGAUCAUUUACAAGUAUUGAUCAUUUCAGAGAAAAACGAAGCAGACAAAUGCAAAAUAAAUAUUGGGGUUUAGAAUGUGAAGAGCAAGACUGGUCCACACAAAGACCAAUCUCAUGGCUUGUCUUUUAACCUAGAUGCAUGAGCUUGACAGGGCAGGGGCCCAGCUCCUCUGUUUCUUAAACACAGGUACCAUUGUGGCUGUAGGGAACUGCAAUUAACCAUUAAAAUCCCUUGAAUAGU